GUCGAGCGCGCCCUUCGGGGUGAGCGGCGGACGGGUGAGUAACGCGUGGGAAUAUGCCCUUCUCUAAGGAAUAGCCUCUGGAAACGGAGAGUAAUACCUUAUACGCCCUUUGGGGGAAAGAUUUAUCGGAGAAGGAUUAGCCCGCGUUAGAUUAGGUAGUUGGUGGGGUAAUGGCCUACCAAGCCUACGAUCUAUAGCUGGUUUGAGAGGAUGAUCAGCCACACUGGGACUGAGACACGGCCCAGACUCCUACGGGAGGCAGCAGUAGGGAAUCUUAGACAAUGGGGGCAACCCUGAUCUAGCCAUGCCGCGUGUGUGAUGAAGGCCCUAGGGUCGUAAAGCACUUUCGCCAGAGAUGAUAAUGACAGUAUCUGGUAAAGAAACCCCGGCUAACUCCGUGCCAGCAGCCGCGGUAAUACGGAGGGGGUUAGCGUUGUUCGGAAUUACUGGGCGUAAAGCGCACGUAGGCGGAUUAGUAAGUUAGAGGUGAAAUCCCAGGGCUCAACCCUGGAACUGCCUUUAAUACUGCUAGUCUUGAGUUCGAGAGA
RNAcentral lists this ribosomal RNA (548 nucleotides) under uncultured bacterium. Its description in RNAcentral is "bacterial SSU rRNA". It matches the Rfam family "Bacterial small subunit ribosomal RNA", at positions 61 to 655 of the family's 1533-position model. The record is from RNAcentral.